GGGACCCCAUCGUACCAUAGGGUCUAGCAGGGUGACCCAUUUCUUGUGUGGGCCCUUGGCUUUCGCUUUCUCUCUCAAUGCUUAUAAGUGUUGUAUGAGUCAUUGGGAAAUGAUGAAGAAAAAGGCUUUGCUUGAUCCGGAAAUAGCUACUAGCAAAAUAGCAAUAGCGGUAGCAAGUCUCUCAAGGAGCAUGACCCCCUCCCUACCUCUUUCCUUGCUCAGCUAAGUGCUUUCUCACUGUCUAAUCUUCAAAAGCCCGCACUCUCUCCAUUCAAUAUUUCUUCAUCAUUUCUCCCUGCAGAGAGAGAACAAAAAGGGAACAGCUUACUUCCCAUUGUUUUUUCUUCUAUUGUGCUUCCAGAUAGAAGCUGCUCGCUCCCAAUCCCUAAUACCUCUCUCUCCAUUCAUCACUUUCACUUCAAUUUUCCCUGUUGGGCAGCAAACAACUAGAACCCCCCCUGUUUUCUUCCUGUCUUUAAUUUGCUUCCAAAAUAAAACCCUCUUUGCCCGCCCCCCUUCCCCAAUAUAACCACACAUACUCUCUCCCUCCCUCUCUCUCUCUCUCU
Molecule: long non-coding RNA, 566 nt
Filed under: Theobroma cacao (cacao)
Lineage: Eukaryota; Viridiplantae; Streptophyta; Magnoliopsida; Malvales; Malvaceae
Description: long non-coding RNA (TCAC_LNC005087)
Source: RNAcentral